Molecule: long non-coding RNA, 1367 nt
Organism: Mustela lutreola (European mink)
Lineage: Eukaryota; Metazoa; Chordata; Mammalia; Carnivora; Mustelidae
Exons: 7
Source: RefSeq, a predicted model, not a curated record
ACAAGGAGGAAGAGAUAGCAGAGGUCCCUCUCCACGUGUGCACCAAGGGAAGGCCACGUGAAGACACAGUGAGACGGCACCAUCUAUAAGCCAGGAGAGGCCUCACCAGAAACCAAGCCUCAUGGCCCCUAGAUCUCAGAUUUCUACUUGCAGAGCUGGUUCCUGGGCUGCCUCUGGAGUAGCCUUGCCUCCUUCUUGCCAGUCUGGUGGGCUCCUUCUGGUUUAGAAGUGAACCAUUCCUAGUUCUUCUAAGAUUUUUGAAUUUGCAUAUACAUUUAUUCUGGGCACUAAGCUCCUCGUGAGGACCCCAGCCUCAAGACCUCAUCUAAACCUAGUUACCUCCCAAAGGCCUUAUUUCCAAAACUCAUAAUAUUUGGGGGGUUGCUUAUUUUGGAAGAGAAGAAUGAUAAAGGUUAUGAAAUUAGCAACCAGCUUAGCCAUCAAACAGAUAAAUGCAGGACAACCCAGAUGAUGUCAAAAUUAUUGGUGAGAUUUUCGUGGGAAGAACACCUAAUGCUGCAUUGGGCCGAGUGAACCAACUGUCCAUCAAGUCUAAUGGGAGAACAUUUCCCCUAGUUCAGCUGGGCUGAUACAGAAGGCUGUGUCAAGGUUGUAAUGGAAGUAAGUGGUGGUGCUGGGACUCUAGAACACAUCCUCUGACUCUAUGUAACAUCGUCUCCCUAUCCAUGCAACAGAGGAGUGGGAAGAAUCUGGCAGUGACAGCCAAAGUAAGAUGAGUGUGAGAAGAAGAAGGAAGAAGGGAAAAUGAGGAAGUAGAAGAACAGAUCACCAGAGAUGGGAAUCUAAAGAACUGAAUGCUAUGAAGUGUCAAAGCCUUUCCUAUUGUCUGGGGAGCAAUGAAAUAGGCAAAAGAAAUAACCACUCUGGGUUAAAGACACCAAAAUCACAGGGGAAAAAAAAAGUUUAAAUCUUAGUUAUACUGAAAAUAUCUUCUUGAUUUCUUAAUUUUUAACUACAGAAGAUGCGGUGGUCUCUUUUUAAUAAUAGACUACUAUAUCCAAUUCUCAUUAGAUACUUCUUGUACUUGUAAUUACUUUUGAACAUGUUUUACUAGAUUAUAACCUGUGGAGGGCAGGGUCUGUGGCUGCAUUAGCAGAACUAAAUACCUUGCUAUAAGUGUUAUUAUUUACUUGUUAAUGUUAAUACUCACUGAAAACAUAUACACACACUUCUGUGCAUGGCCAAUCCCAUUAUAGUCAUUUUGAUCUCUCAAGAAUGGCUUUCUUUUGGGGCACCUGGGUGGCUCAGUGGGUUAAAGCCUCUGGCUUCUGCUCCAGUCAUGAUCCCAGAUUCCUGCGACAAAGCCCUGCAUCAGGCUCUCUGCUCAGCAGGGAGCGUGCUUCCCC